Xenia sp. Carnegie-2017 is the source of this 760-nucleotide long non-coding RNA. RefSeq lists it as uncharacterized. The transcript is spliced from 2 exons. The record is from RefSeq and is a predicted model, not a curated record. Lineage: Eukaryota; Metazoa; Cnidaria; Anthozoa; Malacalcyonacea; Xeniidae.
AUGUUUCAAAUAUAUAUUAUAUAUGUCAUGUUUCUCACGUGAGCAUUUCUCGAAGAUCACGCGUGAUAAACAUGUAGUUUUACCGUUGUGUUUUUUGAAUUUCGACCUGAAUGUGCUAUGGGAGGUUUAUGUCUUACUGGUAUCGCUAAUCUUUUUAAAUUUUGAUUGGGACUUAACUACAAUGUAUUGCUCAGCGUUAGUUAAAUCAAAAUACAUCUGAAGUCCGAUAAGAGUGAUUUAUCAAGCAGAGAAGCGACAACAUUUCGUAAUGGCGGCAAUCUUGACAAAAUGUCUGUUUGGAAAAUAUCUACGAUAAAAGACACUGCACUGCAUGCAAACUUGACGAAGCUGGGACAAAAUCUUAUUUUGUCAUCUAUAAUCAUGAAAUUGUACAAGAAUCAACGAAUGCUUUAAAGAGUCGACAAAAAAGCAUGCAAGACGGCAAAAUAUGGCUGCACAAAACAUGUUUUAUAGAAAGGUCCUUGACUACAUGUAGAAAAGUGCAGAAUACAAAUGGCAUUAAAAAGUUCCAAAAAAAUCUGUUUAACUGGUGAAUGGUUUUAAACCUCUCUCAGUUUACUGGCAUUUCACAGUCACCAACACUAGCAUGGUUAAAACAGAAUAUUGUUUCUACAGGAUGUUUAAAGAAGACUUGUAAAAACUUUUGUUAUUUAGUUAUUUAGAAAAUAAUUUAUUAGACUUGCAAUGGUACAUCUAACAGUAAUAUUGUGGUUAAUAAUAAAUAUCUUUCAAAUGAAAA